This 319-nucleotide ribosomal RNA is filed under the name uncultured bacterium. Its description in RNAcentral is "bacterial SSU rRNA". It matches the Rfam family "Bacterial small subunit ribosomal RNA", at positions 28 to 334 of the family's 1533-position model. The record is from RNAcentral.
GAUGAACGCUAGCGACAGGCUUAACACAUGCAAGUCGAGGGGCAGCGGGGGUGCAGGCUUGCCUGCACCUGCCGGCGACCGGCGCACGGGUGAGUAACACGUAUGGAACCUGCCCGCCACAGGGGGAUAACCCGGGGAAACCCGGCCUAAUACCCCAUGCCGCCCGGACCGGGCAUCCGGACCGGGCGAAAGGAGGAAUCCGGUGGCGGCUGGGCAUGCGGCGCAUUAGCUUGACGGCGGGGUAACGGCCCACCGUGGCGACGAUGCGUAGGGGUUCUGAGAGGAAGGUCCCCCACACUGGUACUGAGACACGGACCAG